This is a small nucleolar RNA of 96 nucleotides. It matches the Rfam family "A. fumigatus snoRNA Afu_335". The record is from Rfam.
UAACGUGAUGAUCAACCUGAUAGGGACAGCUUAUGCUACGGCAUUUGAUUAGACCAAAAGGGACAGUAUUUUAGUAGAUGCUUGUCAUGUCUGACA